UCUCUCUCUCUCUCUCUCUCUCUCUCUCUCUCUCUCUCUCUCUCCACACCUCUCUCUCUCUCUCUCUCUCUCUCUCUCUCUCUCUCUCUCUCUCUCUCUCUCUCUCUCUCUCUCUCUCUCUCUCUCUUCUCUCUUCUCUCUCUCUCUCUCUCUCUCUCUCUCUCUCUCUCUCUCUCUCUCUCUCUCUCUCUCUCUCUCUCUCUCUCUCUCUCUCUAUAUCUAUCUAUCUACAUAGGGUACUGCUAUUUUGGGACAAAGUUGAAUCACCCCAUCUGAAGAUCCAGUUGAUUCCUCAGUGCCACUUUAAGAGGGGAAGGCUCCACUUUAGCAGAUUGUAAACUACUCAAACAAACACGUGAUCGUAAAAACAAAUCUCCCCUCCAUGCAGUAAUUCCCUGUUUAGUUGGUUGCUUCUGCUCCACGGUUUCAUGUUUGUCUUGUGAAGCAAUGUCAAGGAGGAAGGACUUUUUUUUUUAAGCGUUGUACUUUUUAGAGACAGACAGAAAAGUACCCUUCCUCGGAUACAUAACAUAAUUCCACCGGCAUGGUGAGAGUACCCUGCCUCUGUCAGAUGAUCAGCUUUGUGAUGUUGAGAAAUGCAAUAGCUGAAAUGGCCCCCCUAUGCAGUUCUGUAACCUCUAGGGAGGAUGUUGAAUUAGACAGGUCUGGAGUCAGUUCUGUAACCUCUACCCGUAGGGAGGAUGUUGAAUUAGACAGGUCUGGAGUCAGUUCUGUAACCUCUACCCGUAGGGAGGAUGUUGAAUUAGACAGGUCUGGAGUCAGUUCUGUAACCUCUACCCGUAGGGAGGAUGUUGAAUUAGACAGGUCUGGAGUCAGUUCUGUAACCUCUACCUGUAGGGAGGAUGUUGAAUUAGACUGGUCUGGAGUCAGUUCUGUAACCUCUACCCGUAGGGAGGAUGUUGAAUUAGACUGGUCUGGAGUCAGUUCUGUAAUCUCUACCCAUAGGAAGGAUGUUGAUUUAGACAGGUCUGGAGUCAGUUCUGUAACCUCUACCCGUAGGGAGGAUGUUGAUUUCUGUGACCUCUACUCUUUUAUUAAGCUAAUCUUUGUAUCCCGAUUUUUCAUUUUGGGGCUUUGAUUCAAUCUGCUUGAUUGACAUUUAAGGGAAAUGUUUCUGCGUUUGUGGUGACAGAAAUCACCUUUACAUCUCUUCCACGCUAUAACGUAGCUCAACCGCGCUACAACGUAGCUCAAGCUCAACCGCGCUACAACGUAGCUCAACCGCGCUACAACGUAGCUCAACCGCGCUACAGGUUGAAUGAAGCCCUUGGACUUUUUACGACCCACGCCCCUAAUCCACGACCCACGUAAUGUAAUAUGGAGUGUACCCUCAUGAGCACCUCUUCCGUAUUCAUCAACUCUUAUGGCAAAUGGGUUAGUGCUUGUGUGACCUUCAACCUUUCUCAAGGCCCCAGAAUGCCUUGGCCUUGCUUGACCUUUGGAACUCUCUAGACUCUAGUGUGGUACAGUAGCCCAGCUUGUUAAUGACUGUGAUAUGAGUUGUCCGUGUCGUAAAGCAAUUAUGAAUGUCUUGAGUAGUGCUUACGAAGCUCUAAUGUACACAUUAUAACGAGAACCUUGUACAACGCAGUCCUCAUGUCAGAUCCUUUAUGGUGCACAUCUGUGCAUGUGUUUGUCAGUAUUCUGUAUGUAAUGUAUAAUAUAUAUAAUGUAUAGCGAGCUCUGUGUAGUCGGAAUACAACAAUGAUACCAGUGAAGUGUAUACAAAAGGAGGAUAUGCACAAUAUUGACAUUGUGUAAAAUGAUUAUUAUGAUAUAUGUAUUAUCUUGCUCAUACAUACGUACGCAUAUGGUAUUCCUGUGUGGUAUUUGAAUUAUAUAUAUAUUAAUGUAUAUAUGGUACCAGUCAAAAGUUUGGAAAUACCUACUCAUUCAAUGGUUAUUCUUUAUUUUUACUAGUUUUUAAAUUGUAGACUAAUAGUGAAGACAUCACAACUAUGAAAUAACACAUAUGGAAUCAUGUAGUAACCAAAAAAGUGUUAAGCAAAUUAAAAUAUAUUUUAUAUUUGAGAUUCUUCAAAGUAGCCACCCUUUGCCUUGAUGACGUCUUUGCACACUCUUGACAUUUUCUCAACCAGCUUCACCUGGAAUGCUUUUCCAACAUUUUUGAAGGCGUUCCCACAUAUGCUGAGCACUUGUUGGCUGCUCUUCCUUCACUGCGGUCCAACUCAUCCCAAACCAUCUCAAUUGGGUUGAGGUUGGGUGAUUGUGGAGGCCAGGUAAUCUGAUGCAGCACUCCAUCACUCCUUCUUGGUCAAAUAGCCCUUACACAGCCUGGAGGUGUAUUGGGUCAUUGUCCUGUUGAAAAACAAAUGAUUGUCCCAGUAAGUGCAAACCAGAUGGGAUGUCGUAUCACUACAGAAUGCUGUGGUAGCCAUGCUGGUUAAGUGUGCCUUGAAUUCAAAAUAAACCACUGACAGUGUUGCCAGCAAAGCACCCCCACACAUCACACCUCCUCCUCCAUGCUUCACGGUGGGAACCACACAUGCAGAGAUCAUCCGUUCACCCACUCUGCGUCUCACAAAGACACGGCGGUUGAAACUAAAAAUCUAAAAUUUGGACUCGUCAGACAAAAGGACAGAUUUCCACCGGUCUAAUGUCCUUUGCUCGUGUUUUUUGACCCAAGCAAGUAUCUUCUUCUUAUUGGUGUCCUUUAGUAGUGGUUUCUUUGCAGCAAUUCGGCCACAGAGACCUGAUUCACACAGUCUCCUCUGAACAGUUGAUGUUGAGAUGUGUCUGUUACCUGAACUCUGUGAAGCAUGUAUUUGGGCUGCAAACCGAGGUGCAAUUAAAUGAAUUUAUCUUCUGCUGCAGAAGUAACUCUGGGUUUUCCUUUCCUGUGACAGGUCCUCAUGAGAGCCAGUUAACUCUAAUGAACUUAUCCUCUGCAGCAGAGGUAACUCUGGGUCUUCCUUUCCUGUGACAGGUCCUCAUGAGAGCCAGUUUCAUCAUAGCCCUUGAUGGUUUUUGUGACUGCACUUGAAGAAACUUUAAAAGUUCUUGAAAUGUUCCAGAUUUACUGACCUUCAUGUCUUAAAGUAAUGAUGGACUGUCGUUUCUCUUUGCUUAUUUGAGCUGUUCUUGCCAUAAUAUGUACUUGGUAUUUUACCAAGUAGGGCUACCUUCUGUAUAACACCCCUUCCAAAAAUGAACUUUUAACAAGGCACACCUGUUAAUUGAAAUGCAUUCCAGGUGACUACCUCAUGAAGCUGGUUGAGAGAAUGCCAAGCGUGCGCAAAGCUGUUAUCAAGGCAAAGGGUGGCUACAUUUAAGAAUCUCAAACACUUUUUUGGUUACUACAUGGUUCCAUAUGUGUUAUUUCAUAGUUUUGAUGUCUUCACUAUUAUUCUACAAUGUAGAACAUAGUUAAAAUAAAAACCCUUGAAUGAGUAGGUGUGUCCACUGGUCCUGUAUUUACAUACGGUACUAUAAGGAUGGUUAACAUUUUGAGAUUAUGUGAAAUGCAACAGCAAUGAUAUUAAAAAUAAAGUCAUUGUUUUUUCAUAAUA
This is a long non-coding RNA of Oncorhynchus keta (chum salmon), 3551 nucleotides long. RefSeq lists it as uncharacterized. NCBI's taxonomy places the organism in Eukaryota, Metazoa, Chordata, Actinopteri, Salmoniformes, Salmonidae. The transcript has 2 exons. The record is from RefSeq and is a predicted model, not a curated record.